Molecule: ribosomal RNA, 807 nt
Filed under: uncultured bacterium
Lineage: Bacteria
Description: bacterial SSU rRNA
Rfam family: Bacterial small subunit ribosomal RNA
Source: RNAcentral
AGAGUUUGAUCCUGGCUCAGAACGAACGCCGCGGCGUGGAUUAGGCAUGCAAGUCGAACGUGAUCCGUAGCAAUACGGUGAAAGUGACGGAAGGGUGAGUAAUGCAUAGAUAACCUACCUCCGAGACUGGGAUAACUCCGGGAAACUGGAGCUAAUACCGGAUAGGAUCGCGGGAUCUCCUGGUUCUGCGAUUAAAGGUGCCCUCUGAAUAUGGUAGCACUCGGAGAGGGGUCUAUGUCCUAUCAGCUAGUUGGUGAGGGUAACGGCCCACCAAGGCUUUGACGGGUAGCCGGCCUUAGCGGGUGUCCGGCCACAUUGGGACUGAGACACUGCCCAAACUCCUACGGGAGGCUGCAGUCGAGGAUCUUCCGCAAUGGGCGCAAGCCUGACGGAGCGACGCCGCGUGUGGGAUGAAGGCCUUCGGGUUGUAAACCACUGUCACUCGUUAAGAAAGGGCUUAACGUUAACAGCGUUAGGAACUGACUAAGGCGAGAGAGGAAGCCACGGCUAACUUCGUGCCAGCAGCCGCGGUAAGACGAAGGUGGCGAGCGUUGUUCGGAAUCACUGGGCAUAAAGCGCACGUAGGCGGCGACGUAAGUUGGGUGUGAAAUCCCUCGGCCCAACCGAGGAACUGCGCCCAGUACUGCGUUGCUUGAGGAUCCAAGGGGUGCAUGGAAUUCCCGGUGGAGCGGUGAAAUGCGUUGAUAUCGGGAGGAACUCCGGCGGCGAAAGCGGUGCACUGGUGGAUUACUGACGCUGAGGUGCGAAAGCCAGGGGAGCAAACGGGAUUAGAUACCCCCGUAGUCC